Molecule: long non-coding RNA, 1994 nt
Organism: Nematostella vectensis (starlet sea anemone)
Lineage: Eukaryota; Metazoa; Cnidaria; Anthozoa; Actiniaria; Edwardsiidae
Exons: 3
Source: RefSeq, a predicted model, not a curated record
GUCCUUGGCGAAGUUUCCGCUUUCCAUACUGGGCCUGCCAAAACAAUAGAGAGUUUCGGGGAGCGUUGCAGAUUCGUGGAACAUAUUUUCCACUGGUAGUGGCCAGGGAAGGAGCCGUACGCGCCUGUGCCCACCCCUGCAAAAAGCCGCCUAACGCACAUUCCAUUGCGCACGCAAGGAUUUCUUUUCGAGGUAGUACCCCUGAUGCAUUGCGCCAGAGCAUGUUAUCAACGGCCGCACGAUUUGAUGGCGCGCAGAUGAUCAUAGCUAUGAAGGCGGUAGAGCAAGAUACAUAUCGCGGGUAAAGGGGUUAACGUAGGCAACGUAGCGUCGUGUUGAGGACGGCAUGUAUUGCGCGCGUGUUCAGAGCCAUUGCGAGCGCGCGUGACGUCAUGGCCGAUGGUGACGUAAUAAUGCAAAUUAGAAUAAAAAAACAAAGAGACCCAAGCUAGCUUGAAAGCUACAGAUCUGCGAUGAUCUGGAUAAUUGUAAGCGUACUUUUCAGGACUUUGUUGGGUAUUUUGGAUCAUGAACGUUUUGGUAAAUAUAAUAUCUUUAAUUGUGAUUGAAGAUAUUAUGUUUACCAAAACGUUUAGCGGAGUCGCGCAAUGUAAUUCUUGGAAUUACAGCUUUUACAGAGCCAAGCUCCCUUCCCGCCAUCUCAGCCAACAGCCGCACUGCCACUGUUGCAUCCUUCAAGAAUGUGGAGACGGAGUUACAGCAAAAGGAUGCUUCCAGUGACAAUGAUAACAAAAGCAUCAGCAGUAGAAGGGAUAUCGGUGGUCGCAUGUCGAGGACCACGAGUCGUCCAUUGUCGGCGCCAAUGCCAAGACGGUCAAGAACCAUCGGUGACCUUGCACGUGAUCUGCCGACCCCGAGGAAAGCCACUUGAUCAAUAUAGGGAUAUCGAGCGAGUGGCUUGCCUCGGGGUCGGCACCAGACCUGACAAUGGAUGCAUCGCGGGCUCUGUUUUCUGGUGGCGAACAAGCAAAGUCAUCUAUUCUGCGAUUUGAUACAGCAAAAUCUCAAUCAGGACAGGUUCCAACGAGUAUAAUCUAGACAACAAGAAAUAGAAACAGCAACAAGGAACUUGGCAAAGCUGAAACAAAAAGCGGACAAUCAGCUUCUGCUAUUUCACACCCCCCGAAAAGCAAGAGAGACAAAACCAGGGAUAAAACCACCAUGUCUACCAACUCUUAUACUAAUCGCCACAGCAGCACGUACAUAACCAAGACCAUAGAUUAGUUUGCUUCGGAAUCUGGUGCCUCUAUCACAGUUCCCCCAAGUAACAAAGACAGGUCUAGUAAAGAGUUCUUCUUCUGCUACCCUCCCUCAAGCAACAAUGCUCGACCAAAGACCACUGAAUCCAACACAAAUAGGUCAGUGGCACCCAGAAAUUUAACAAAGGGCGAUUCAGGCCCGCAGUGUACACACUAAAGGUGAUAAGGGAGAAACUCAGGAUCAGCAGCCUUUCAGUGACACCCCCAGAAAAGAGCCCUCAGAAGCCUUUACCACCGAAACCAACUAAAGCACAAAAACGAAAAGCACGCAGGGAGAAGCUGGAGAUGUACCUUAGCAUGAGCUUAAACACUCAAGGGGCUCAUAGAGAGUAGUCAUCUAAAACACCAGGUGUUACUAAACGCCUAAUCAAAAUAACUGAAGACGCAUCCCAGACGACAGAAACGAGUGGUGUGCGUCAGAAAGCCACGGUUAUUGAUAGAGCAGCCAGACCGGCGAGUCCGAAUGAGGUGAAGGGCGUGUGUGCAAGUGAAAGUUCUUCUCUUCUAUCCGCAUAUGACAUCCAAGAAAGAAUUAACAGCUUCUCAAUACACCCUAAAGAGACACGAACUCAGAAGACUGAGGAGAAGUCGAAAAAAGUCUAUACUAUAUGCUGGCUUGCGCGCUUUGCCGAAUGACACAGCGCCGGCCAACGACAGCAAGGCUGAUAAUACGCAGGUUAGCGUCACUGAGAUUGAUGAGGCAAUUGCUAAAAA